GCCCGGUUAGCUCAAUCGGUAGAGCGUGAGACUCUUAAAUGAGUACACACAAUCUCAAGGUUGCGGGUUCGACCCCCGCAUCGGGCU
Non-coding RNA from Fusarium tricinctum, 87 nucleotides. The record is from the annotation of a GenBank genome assembly. NCBI's taxonomy places the organism in Eukaryota, Fungi, Ascomycota, Sordariomycetes, Hypocreales, Nectriaceae.